GCAAGUCGAGCGCGCCUUCGGGCGAGCGGCGGACGGGUUAGUAACGCGUGGGAACGUGCCCAGAUCUACGGAAUAGCCACUGGAAACGGUGAGUAAUACCGUAUACGCCCUUCGGGGGAAAGAUUUAUCGGAUUUGGAUCGGCCCGCGUUAGAUUAGGUAGUUGGUGGGGUAACGGCCUACCAAGCCUACGAUCUAUAGCUGGUUUUAGAGGAUGAUCAGCAACACUGGGACUGAGACACGGCCCAGACUCCUACGGGAGGCAGCAGUGGGGAAUCUUGGACAAUGGGGGCAACCCCGAUCCAGCCAUGCCGCGUGAGUGAAGAAGGCCCUAGGGUCGUAAAACUCUUUCGCCUGUGAUGAUAAUGACAGUAGCAGGUAAAGAAACCCCGGCUAACUCCGUGCCAGCAGCCGCGGUAAUACGGAGGGGGUUAGCGUUGUUCGGAAUUACUGGGCGUANAGCGCACGUAGGCGGAU
RNAcentral lists this ribosomal RNA (475 nucleotides) under uncultured bacterium. RNAcentral's name for it is "bacterial SSU rRNA". It matches the Rfam family "Bacterial small subunit ribosomal RNA", at positions 57 to 580 of the family's 1533-position model. The record is from RNAcentral.